GUGCCUGUGGCUCAAAAGGGUAGGGCGCCAGCCUCAUAUGCUGGAGGUUGUGGGUUCAAACCCAGCCCUGGGCCA
Molecule: non-coding RNA, 75 nt
Organism: Otolemur garnettii (small-eared galago)
Lineage: Eukaryota; Metazoa; Chordata; Mammalia; Primates; Galagidae
Source: Rfam